AUUGAACGCUGGCGGCAGGCCUAACACAUGCAAGUCGAGCGGUAGCACAGAGAAGCUUGCUUCUUGGGUGACGAGCGGCGGACGGGUGAGUAACGCGUGGGAAUCUACCUGGUAGUGGGGGACAACAGUCGGAAACGACUGCUAAUACCGCAUACGCCCUUCGGGGGAAAGUGGGGGAUCUUCGGACCUCACGCUAUCAGAUGAGCCCGCGUCGGAUUAGCUUGUUGGUGAGGUAAAGCCUCACCUAGGCGAUGAUCCGUAGCUGGUCUGAGAGGAUGACCAGCCACACUGGGACUGAGACACGGCCCAGACUCCUACGGGAGGCAGCAGUGGGGAAUAUUGGGCAAUGGGGGAAACCCUGACCCAGCAACGCCGCGUGAAGGAAGAAGGGCCUUCGGGUUGUAAACUUCUUUUAGCAGGGACGAAGAACGUGACGGUACCUG
Molecule: ribosomal RNA, 443 nt
Filed under: uncultured bacterium
Lineage: Bacteria
Description: bacterial SSU rRNA
Rfam family: Bacterial small subunit ribosomal RNA
Source: RNAcentral